Molecule: ribosomal RNA, 483 nt
Filed under: uncultured bacterium
Lineage: Bacteria
Description: partial 16S ribosomal RNA
Rfam family: Bacterial small subunit ribosomal RNA
Source: RNAcentral
GACGAACGCUGGCGGCGUGCUUAACACAUGCAAGUCGAACGAUGAAGCCGGAGCUUGCUCCGGUGGAUUAGUGGCGAACGGGUGAGUAACACGUGAGCAAUCUGCCCUUGACUCUGGGAUAACUGCGGGAAACUGUAGCUAAUACCGGAUACGACACCUUGGGGCAUCCCAGGGUGUGGAAAGAAUUUCGGUCAAGGAUGAGCUCGCGGCCUAUCAGCUAGUUGGUGAGGUAAUGGCUCACCAAGGCGACGACGGGUAGCCGGCCUGAGAGGGUGACCGGCCACACUGGAACUGAGACACGGUCCAGACUCCUACGGGAGGCAGCAGUGGGGAAUAUUGCACAAUGGGCGAAAGCCUGAUGCAGCAACGCCGCGUGAGGGAUGAAGGCCUUCGGGUUGUAAACCUCUUUCAGUAGGGACGAAGCGCAAGUGACGGUACCUAAAGAAGAAGCACCGGCUAACUACGUGCCAGCAGCCGCGGUAA